RNAcentral lists this ribosomal RNA (467 nucleotides) under uncultured bacterium. Its description in RNAcentral is "partial 16S ribosomal RNA". It matches the Rfam family "Bacterial small subunit ribosomal RNA", at positions 28 to 507 of the family's 1533-position model. The record is from RNAcentral.
GAUGAACGCUGGCGGCGUGCUUAACACAUGCAAGUCGAACGGAAAGGCUCCUGCUUGCAGGGGUACUCGAGUGGCGAACGGGUGAGUAACACGUGGGUGAUCUGCCCUGCACUUCGGGAUAAGCCUGGGAAACUGGGUCUAAUACCGGAUAGGACCACAUUUUGGAUGGUGUGGUGGAAAGUUUUUCGGUGUGGGAUGAGCUCGCGGCCUAUCAGCGUGUUGGUGGGGUAAUGGCCUACCAAGGCGUCGACGGGUAGCCGGCCUGCGAGAGUGUACGGCCACAUUGGGACUGAGAUACGGCCCAGACUCCGACGGGGGGCAGCAGUGGGGAAUAUUGCACAAUGGGCGCAAGCCUGAUGCAGCGACGCCGCGUGGGGGAUGACGGCCUUCGGGUUGUAAACUCCUUUCGCUAGGGACGAAGCGUUUUUGUGACGGUACCUGGAGAAGAAGCACCGGCUAACUACGUG